RNAcentral lists this ribosomal RNA (726 nucleotides) under uncultured Burkholderiales bacterium. Its description in RNAcentral is "bacterial SSU rRNA". It matches the Rfam family "Bacterial small subunit ribosomal RNA", at positions 60 to 781 of the family's 1533-position model. The record is from RNAcentral. Lineage: Bacteria; Pseudomonadati; Pseudomonadota; Betaproteobacteria; Burkholderiales.
AGUCGAACGGCAGCGCGGGAGCAAUCCUGGCGGCGAGUGGCGAACGGGUGAGUAAUAUAUCGGAACGUGCCCAGUAGUGGGGGAUAGCCCGGCGAAAGCCGGAUUAAUACCGCAUACGACCUGAGGGUGAAAGCGGGGGAUCGCAAGACCUCGCGCUACUGGAGCGGCCGAUAUCAGAUUAGCUAGUUGGUGGGGUAAAGGCCUACCAAGGCAACGAUCUGUAGUUGGUCUGAGAGGACGACCAGCCACACUGGGACUGAGACACGGCCCAGACUCCUACGGGAGGCAGCAGUGGGGAAUUUUGGACAAUGGGCGCAAGCCUGAUCCAGCAAUGCCGCGUGCAGGAAGAAGGCCUUCGGGUUGUAAACUGCUUUUGUCAGGGAAGAAAUCUUCUGGGCUAAUACCCCGGGAGGAUGACGGUACCUGAAGAAUAAGCACCGGCUAACUACGUGCCAGCAGCCGCGGUAAUACGUAGGGUGCGAGCGUUAAUCGGAAUUACUGGGCGUAAAGCGUGCGCAGGCGGCUUUGCAAGACAGAGGUGAAAUCCCCGGGCUCAACCUGGGAACUGCCUUUGUGACUGCAAGGCUAGAGUACGGCAGAGGGGGAUGGAAUUCCGCGUGUAGCAGUGAAAUGCGUAGAUAUGCGGAGGAACACCGAUGGCGAAGGCAAUCCCCUGGGCCUGUACUGACGCUCAUGCACGAAAGCGUGGGGAGCAAACAGGAUUAG